GAAAUGCGAUAAGUCGUGUGAAUUGCAGAAUUCAGUGAAUCAUCGAAUCUUUGAACGCACAUUGCGCCCUUUGGUAUUCCUUAGGGCAUGCCUGUUCGAGCGUCAUCUAAACCUUCAAGCCCUGCUUGGUGUUGGGUGCCUGUCCCGCCUCCGCGCGCGGACUCACCUCAAAUCCAUUGGCGGCCCCCGCGUCGGCCACGAGCGCAGCAGAAACGCGAACUCGUGAGCCCGUCCGGGCGGCUCCCAGAAGCUACACCCACCCAGUUUGACCUCGGAUCAGGUAGGGAUACCCGCUGAACUUAAGC
RNAcentral lists this unclassified non-coding RNA (305 nucleotides) under plant metagenome. Its description in RNAcentral is "partial contains 5.8S ribosomal RNA, internal transcribed spacer 2, and large subunit ribosomal RNA". The stretch from base 1 to 105 matches the Rfam family "5.8S ribosomal RNA", at positions 50 to 154 of the family's 154-position model. The record is from RNAcentral.